RNAcentral lists this long non-coding RNA (276 nucleotides) under Pan troglodytes (chimpanzee). Its description in RNAcentral is "long non-coding RNA NONPTRT000790". The record is from RNAcentral. Lineage: Eukaryota; Metazoa; Chordata; Mammalia; Primates; Hominidae.
GGCUGUUUCGGGCGCGGGCCCCGCUUUUCCGCACCCUGCUCCGGCCUCGACUACGGCGAGCCUGAGCGCGGCGGCGGCCCACGCGCAGCGACAGGGAGAGAUGAGCAGCUCCAGCAAUAAGAGGGCUCCGACCACAGCAACCCAGAGGCUGAAGCAGGACUACCUUCGCAUUAAGAAAGACCCGGUGCCUUACAUCUGUGCCGAGCCCCUCCCUUCGAAUAUUCUCGAGUGGUAAGGCUCCGCGCCACUGAUCACCCCGCACUGACUGUCGCUGCC